Molecule: ribosomal RNA, 303 nt
Filed under: uncultured bacterium
Lineage: Bacteria
Description: partial 16S ribosomal RNA
Rfam family: Bacterial small subunit ribosomal RNA
Source: RNAcentral
AGCAGCCGCCACGGUAAUACAGAGGGUGCGAGCGUUAAUCGGAUUUACUGGGCGUAAAGCGUGCGUAGGCGGCUUUUUAAGUCGGAUGUGAAAUCCCUGAGCUUAACUUAGGAAUUGCAUUCGAUACUGGGAAGCUAGAGUAUGGGAGAGGAUGGUAGAAUUCCAGGUGUAGCGGUGAAAUGCGUAGAGAUCUGGAGGAAUACCAAUGGCGAAGGCAGCCAUCUGGCCUAAUACUGACGCUGAGGUACGAAAGCAUGGGGAGCAAACAGGAUUAGAUACCCCGGUAGUCCCUGUCUCUUAUAC